AAUGAACGCUGGCGGCAUGCCUAACACAUGCAAGUCGAGCGAGUGGCGGACGGGUGAGUAAUGUAUGGGGACUGCCCGAUGGAGGGGGAUCACUACUGGAAACGGUAGCUCAUACCGCAUACUACCCGAAAUCCCAUAUGGGAUUAGCUAGUAGGCGAGGUAAUGGCUCACCUAGGCGACGAUCCCUAGCUGGUGUGAGAGGAUGAUCAGCCACACUGGGACUGAGACACGGCCCAGACUCCUACGGAGGCAGCAGUGGGGAAUAUUGCACAAUGGGCGCAAGCCUGAUGCAGCCAUGCCGCGAGUAUGAAGAAGGCCCUAGGGUUGUAAAGUACUUUCAGUCGGGAGGCGUUACCGACAGAAGAAGCACCGGCUAACUCCGUGCCAGCAGCCGCGGUAAUUC
This 403-nucleotide ribosomal RNA is filed under the name uncultured bacterium. RNAcentral describes it as "partial 16S ribosomal RNA". It matches the Rfam family "Bacterial small subunit ribosomal RNA", at positions 29 to 526 of the family's 1533-position model. The record is from RNAcentral.